This 253-nucleotide ribosomal RNA is filed under the name uncultured bacterium. RNAcentral describes it as "partial 16S ribosomal RNA". It matches the Rfam family "Bacterial small subunit ribosomal RNA", at positions 524 to 776 of the family's 1533-position model. The record is from RNAcentral.
UACGGGGGGUGCGAGCGUUGUCCGGAAUCACUGGGCGUAAAGAGCGUGUAGGCGGCCUGGAAGGUCCGUUGUGAAAACUCGAGGCUCAACCUCGAGACGUCGAUGGAAACCCUCAGGCUAGAGUCCGGAAGAGGAGAGUGGAAUUCCUGGUGUAGCGGUGAAAUGCGCAGAUAUCAGGAAGAACACCUAUGGCGAAGGCAGCUCUCUGGGACGGUACUGACGCUGAGACGCGAAAGCGUGGGGAGCGAACAGG